This is a long non-coding RNA of Hippopotamus amphibius kiboko, 1259 nucleotides long. RefSeq lists it as uncharacterized. NCBI's taxonomy places the organism in Eukaryota, Metazoa, Chordata, Mammalia, Artiodactyla, Hippopotamidae. The transcript has 6 exons. The record is from RefSeq and is a predicted model, not a curated record.
CAGCCUCCUCCCUCUGGUGUUUAGCAGGUUUGCAUGUCCUAUAAGCAUUUUUUUAAGUGAAAACUUGGAACGCCACCUCCUUCCUAGCAUCCAGCCCGCCAGCAUCCCGGGGACACAGAAGUGGCCAUUAGUCUGAUGGGCUCAAAUACCCAAACAGAACUCAGAGCGUCUGAAAAUAUAAACGUGCAACAAUUGUGAGUGGCCAAGGUGGCAGAGUAAGAAGACCCACAGCUUACCUCCUUCUACAGGCACAUCCAAACUACAGCUAUUUACAGAGCAACCAACCAUUGAUUAAAGAAAGCUAGCAGAAAAGAUCUUCUACAACUAAAAGUAUGAAGAAGGAAGCACAACAAGACAGUUAUGGUGACCAUGAAGGGACCAGAGCCAACGUUUCUCCUUUGCCUGAACUCUACAAGGAUCCAGAGCCUUGGUACCAGCAGGACCUCUUUUGCACACCUGGCUCAUCAGAGUCUAGACAACUUAGUUCUGGAAGCUACUGGAAGUCCGAAAUCAAGGUGCCAACAGGGCCACACUCUCUCCAACGCUCUAGGGAGACAUUAGCCACCUAGGGGUGGUGGCUAGGAGGGACCUAGUGAAACCACACCUCAGAGAUGGGACUCACUUGAACCAAGUCACACCUCAGAUGGGACUCGAACCCACAGUCUUCCAGCUGAAACCGCACAGCUUGUCUCAGGACUUGAUGAAGCUCGAUUUCUUUAUGUCUCUGCAGGGAGAGGCAAAGUAAAAGCAACCCAGUGAUCCCUUCCCAUGGCCAACUGGUGGUGUUGGUUUUUGUGUACGUCCUUCCAGAGAUAUUUUAUGAAUAUUCAAGCAAGUAUAUAUAUUCUCUUCUCUCUCCUUGCCCUGUUUUGGGUAUUACUUGAUAUAUACUGUUUUUGUCUAUGGCCAUACCACCCUGAAUGCACCUGAUCUUGUCUGAUAUAUAUUGUUUUGCAUUUUCCUUUUUUGAUUUAACAACACACCUUGGGCAUCACUUUAGUUCCUUCUUUCUUUUUUUAAAGUGACACAGUUUCACUAUAUACCAUAGCUUACUGGGCGAAUCCCUUUGGAUGGAUACUUGAUGAUGUCUAAUCUUUUGCUCUUGCUGCUAGUGGUGCAAUGAAUAUCUUAGUAUCCUAUUACUUCUCCCAGGUGUGAGUCUAUCUGGAAGAUAACGGUCUGCAAGUGGAAAUGUAGGGUCAAAGGAUACAUGCAUUUGUAAUUUUUUUUUAAGUUUUUUUUUUUUUUUUGAUGUGGAC